CAGGAAUAGGGCAACAGGACGUGCUGGUCAGGACACAAGGACGUACGAAUCCCGAACAGAGUACAGGGUAUCAUCUAAAUGACGCAUAGCUUUCCCUGACCUUCUAGUUCCGUUACUGUUUGUUAGUCAUAGGUACACAUUUGCUUAACCUUAAAACUAUGCGCGGUGUUUGUAUGAGAGAAGGCAUCCUUCUCUGAUAUUUUGUAAAAACAUUACUGGUUAAUUGCAUGGCAAAACAUGGCACUGUCUUCUACAUUUUCACUAUUUAUUUAUAUCAAGUUAUAACAGGCAAAUGAAAACAAUUUCUUACUGACCCCUGAACUCGAAUAUUUG
Long non-coding RNA from Amphibalanus amphitrite, 333 nucleotides. RefSeq lists it as uncharacterized. The record is from RefSeq and is a predicted model, not a curated record. Lineage: Eukaryota; Metazoa; Arthropoda; Thecostraca; Balanomorpha; Balanidae. The transcript is spliced from 2 exons.